This 70-nucleotide transfer RNA is filed under the name Heterocephalus glaber (naked mole-rat). It matches the Rfam family "tRNA". Rfam says of the family: Transfer RNA (tRNA) molecules are approximately 80 nucleotides in length. Their secondary structure includes four short double-helical elements and three loops (D, anti-codon, and T loops). Further hydrogen bonds mediate the characteristic L-shaped molecular structure. tRNAs have two regions of fundamental functional importance: the anti-codon, which is responsible for specific mRNA codon recognition, and the 3' end, to which the tRNAs corresponding amino acid is attached (by aminoacyl-tRNA synthetases). tRNAs cope with the degeneracy of the genetic code in two manners: having more than one tRNA (with a specific anti-codon) for a particular amino acid; and 'wobble' base-pairing, i.e. permitting non-standard base-pairing at the 3rd anti-codon position. Lineage: Eukaryota; Metazoa; Chordata; Mammalia; Rodentia; Bathyergidae. The record is from Rfam by way of RNAcentral.
GGAGGUGGCUGAGUGGUAGAGCACUUGUCUAGUAUGCUAGAGAACCUGGGUGCAAUCCCCAGUAUUGCCA